CCUUAGCCCCGAUGGCAGUGAAAAUCCUUUCUAUUUUUUCUUUAAAAAUAGAAAGAUUACAACGGAUAGCGGGAAAUAGG
Molecule: small RNA, 80 nt
Filed under: Flavobacterium xueshanense
Lineage: Bacteria; Pseudomonadati; Bacteroidota; Flavobacteriia; Flavobacteriales; Flavobacteriaceae
Description: Flavo-1 RNA
Rfam family: Flavo-1 RNA
Source: RNAcentral